GUCUCCAUGGGAUGGGUAUUAGACCAUCUCUGAUCCCAGUUUCAUUCUAGAGCAGCAGACUCAACUCUCGAGCACCUCAAGAAGAGGGUCCUGACGUGGCAGAUCCUUCCAGAGCUUCUCCAAUCAUAUAAAAUUUUACAGCUCUAAAUAUCCAACCAGUGGCGGCGAUUGCAGCAGCAAUUAUACAUUAGCAUAGCAUAGGCGAUGGGGAUAAUAAGGAGCUGUUUCUCCUUCAUAGUAGGCACUGUGUGCGGGGUUUACAUUGCUCAAAACUAUGACGUUCCCAAUAUCAAGAAGCUCGCCACCUCUGGCCUCUUCAUGGCCAAGCUCAUUGAAGAGAAGUACCGCAAGCCCAAGAGCAAGAAAGACGAGGAUUAGCUCCGUAAUUAUCAACAGACAACAGGUUCCCAACUUAUAAUUAAUUAAUUUUCUAGAAGGAAUUAUUCCAUCAUAAUCGAUUUAUAAUUUUGCUGUAGGAGAAAACACAUACACUAUCAAAUUGUAGUUUUUAUUUGCGAAAUUUUUU
This 526-nucleotide unclassified non-coding RNA is filed under the name Hevea brasiliensis (rubber tree). Lineage: Eukaryota; Viridiplantae; Streptophyta; Magnoliopsida; Malpighiales; Euphorbiaceae. The record is from RNAcentral.